GUACCCGCUGAACUUAAGCAUAUCAAUAAGCGGAGGAAAAGAAACCAACAGGGAUUGCCCUAGUAACGGCGAGUGAAGCGGCAACAGCUCAAAUUUGAAAUCUGGCCUUGGCCCGAGUUGUAAUUUGUAGAGGAUGCUUUUGGCGCGGUGCCUUCUGAGUUCCCUGGAACGGGACGCCAUAGAGGGUGAGAGCCCCGUAUAGUUGGACACCUAGCCUCUGUAAAGCUCCUUCGACGAGUCGAGUAGUUUGGGAAUGCUGCUCAAAAUGGGAGGUAUAUUUCUUCUAAAGCUAAAUACCGGCCAGAGACCGAUAGCGCACAAGUAGAGUGAUCGAAAGAUGAAAAGCACUUUGAAAAGAGGGUUAAAUAGUACGUGAAAUUGUUGAAAGGGAAGCGCUUAUGACCAGACUUGUCCCGAGUUGAUCAUCCAGUGUUCUCACUGGUGCACUCUGCCCGGGUCAGGCCAGCGUCGGUUUCCGUAGGGGGAUAAAAGCUUUGGGAACGUGGCUCCUCCGGGAGUGUUAUAGCCCGCUGCAUAAUACCUUUACGGGGACCGAGGUUCGCGCUCUGCAAGGACGCUGGCAUAAUGGUCAUCAGCGACCCGUCUUGAAACACGGACCAAGGAGUCGAGGUUUUGCGCGAGUGUUUGGGUGUAAAACCCGCACGCGUAAUGAAAGUGAACGUAGAUGAGAGCUUCGGCGCAUCAUCGACCGAUCCUGAUGUAUUCGGAUGGAUUUGAGUAAGAGCGUAUAGCCUCGGACCCGAAAGAUGGUGAACUAUGCCUGUAUAGGGUGAAGCCAGAGGAAACUCUGGUGGAGGCUCGCAGCGGUUCUGACGUGCAAAUCGAUCGUCAAAUAUGGGCAUGGGGGCGAAAGACUAAUCGAACCAUCUAGUAGCUGGUUACCGCCGAAGUUUCCCUCAGGAUAGCAGUGUUGUCUUCAGUUUUAUGAGGUAAAGCGAAUGAUUAGGGACUCGGGGGCGCUUAUUAGCCUUCAUCCAUUCUCAAACUUUAAAUAUGUAAGAAGCCCUUGUUACUUAGUUGAACGUGGGCAUUCGAAUGUACCAACACUAGUGGGCCAUUUUUGGUAAGCAGAACUGGCG
This 1100-nucleotide ribosomal RNA is filed under the name Cancellidium applanatum. Its description in RNAcentral is "eukaryotic LSU rRNA". It matches the Rfam family "Eukaryotic large subunit ribosomal RNA", at positions 22 to 1155 of the family's 3401-position model. Lineage: Eukaryota; Fungi; Ascomycota; Sordariomycetes; Cancellidiaceae. The record is from RNAcentral.